Molecule: long non-coding RNA, 1282 nt
Filed under: Dermacentor andersoni
Lineage: Eukaryota; Metazoa; Arthropoda; Arachnida; Ixodida; Ixodidae
Description: uncharacterized LOC126530803
Rfam family: mir-10 microRNA precursor family (bases 894-964)
Source: RNAcentral
CGCCGUCUCCUCGAUGCGGCCGCGCCUCCUUCGAUUAUUUGCUGCCCCGUAGAGCGGGGAGACCACGGUUGACUUCCUGCCUGCCCCGCUGUGCGUUUUAAACGAUCCUUGACCACCGACCCCUUUCCCAUUUAACCACUGCACCCUUUCUCCGGCCUCUCAGACUGUGCGUCUCUUGCUUCGUCGCAGUUUGACGUCGCGGAUAUCUUGCGCGCCGUUCCUGCAGCUGAUACCUUCGGCCGUGCACGGCGGCGCCCCCGUGGAAGCAGCAAGAAGCCGGGGGUCCGGGCUCGAGCGCGAGCACACCCUCGACGAGGAGCAGUGGACCGGCGUCGCUGGCCCGGCUGAUCAAGUGGACAGAGAGAAACACGCCGGGGAGGACAAAAAAAUAGCGCGGCCGGGUUCUCCGCGGGCCCAAUUAGAGAAGACAAACUGCCGCGGCGGACUCGGACAAGAAAGCCAGCAGAAGGGGGGACUCUUGUGCUCGCCUCCGCUCGUCCGCCCUGAGUGACAAAGGGCGUUGCCUGUGCCGGGCUAGGCGCGGGGGCGCGCUGCUACUGAUUGGACUGCCUUCGUAGGGAAGACACACGCUGCUCUCUCUCUCCCUCUCUUUCCCUGUACAACUCCCCCUCCCCCCUUUUCCAGUGCCAUUCAAUACGCUUCUUCUGCUCCCUUAAUCAAAUCGAAUCAAAGUCACGAAACCGGGAGACAUGGGAUGGUGGUAGUAAGGGGAGAGAUGAGUGAGGUUGGAACAAAAGGGGAGAGAAUAGCCGAGGAGGGGAGGGGAUUCGUCGGCACAGGACAGCGGCCACCACCGCGGCUGCUACAAGCGGCUGCAGGGAGACGGCCUCUCAUCAAGGCGGCGGGAGCAGCGCAAGUUGAGCUCUAGUGUUCUACAUCUACCCUGUAGAUCCGAAUUUGUUUGCCACUAGACUACAAAUUCGGUUCUAGAGAGGUUUGUGUGGUACAUACGAAACGUCACACUGCAAAGCAUACCUUCCGUUUCUUCGACGACCAUGGGCAAUGUGUGUGUGCACGUGUGUGUGUGUGUGUUUGCCAGGCGCGGGAAUGUAGAUCGUGCGCAUACGACACGCAUGCGGGUGCCGACCUUGUCCCUGUCUCGAUGAGAAGGCCCCUUAAUGAGUGCGAGCGUCUCGAUGGUGUUGGUUAAAAAAAGAGAGUUGUAACAUAUUUUUUUUUUUUCUGUUUCAUAUUGCUUUUUUGCUUCCAUCAUUCCCCUUGGGGAACAAGCAGCGGAAAUAAAGAAACUGUGUUUGCCUGC